RNAcentral lists this long non-coding RNA (4173 nucleotides) under Homo sapiens (human). RNAcentral's name for it is "HSALNT0153667". Lineage: Eukaryota; Metazoa; Chordata; Mammalia; Primates; Hominidae. The record is from RNAcentral.
GGAGGAGGAGGUUGCAGUUAGCUGAGAUCACACCACUGCCUUCCAGCCUGGGUGACAGAGCAAGACUCUGUCUCAAAUAAAUAAAUAAAUAAAUAGGAAGAGAUUCUGUCAUUUGUGAAAACACAGAUGGAAUUGGAGAACAUUGUGUUAAGUGAAAUAAGCCAGACACAGAAAGACAAAUACCACAUCUUCUCAAUUAUAUGUGGAAUCUCAAACAAUUGAACUCAAGGAAGCAGAGAGUAGAAAGGUGGUAACUAGAGGCUGGAGGGUGGGAAGAAAAUAGGGAGAUGAUGGUCAAAGUGUAUAAAGCCUCAGAGAGGAGGAAUAAGUCUGAACUUUUCUUUCUUUAUUCUUUUGCUGAGAUCAAUUACAUAGCAUGAUGAAUAUGGUUAAUAAUUGUGUAUUAUGUUUAAAUUUCUCUAAGAGAGUACAUUUCAAAUGUUCUUAUCAAAAAAUGUUAAAUAUUUGAGGUGAUAAAUAUGUUAAUUAGCUUGAUUUAACCAUUAUAUUCAAAGUCAUAACACCACUUUGUACCACAUAAAUAUAAUGUAUAUUUUGUCUAUAAAUUUAUGUUUAACAUAUAAUUUACGUUUAUAAAUUAUAUUUCUAGCAAACUAUAAUCUAUAAUUUAUUAUUUAUAAUUAUACUCUGUAAUUUAUCUGUAAAAAUAAUUCAUCAAUAAAAAUGAAAUUAAAUUCAAAAUAAAAAUAAAAAUUUUUUAAAAAAUCAUAAAGAACCUGUCAAGGAUUAUGAAUCCAUUUCUAACCACCCAGAGGUAACCCCUAAGAGGCAGUUUCGCUAUCUUUGCUCUUCAACCUGUUGAAAUGUAUUGGGACAGAAACUCAAAUUUCCCCUUCUGUCAAAGAAAAAAUAAGGCAAUCCAAGAGGAACUGUUUAGAAUAGUUCCAGAUGGCUGAGUCAAAAAAAAAAAAAAAAAAAAACUGAGCUACGUGUGGCCCUUUAUAAGUAGGCCAAAAAGUAGGGUUUUUGAGCACAGUAAUGCCAGGGCUAUUGUAUUGCAAGGAAAAGAGUCAAUAUUUUCUUGGCCAGGCACAGUGGCUUACUGACUGUAGUCCCAGCACUUUGGGAGGCCAAGGCAGGUGGAUCACCUGAGGUCAGGAUUUCGAGACCAGCCUAGACAACAUGGCGAAACCCCUUCUCUACUAAAAAUACAAAAAAUUAGCCGGGCAUGGUGGCACGCACCUUUAAUUACAGCUACUUGAGAGGCUGAGGCGGCUGUAAUCCCAGCUACUCAGGAGGCUGAGCAGGAGAAUAGCUUGAGCCCGGGAGGUAGAGGUUACAGUGAGCCGAGAUGGAGCCACUGCACUCCAGCCUGGGUGACAAGAGACAGACUCUGUCUCAAAAAAGAAAAGAGUCAAUAUUUUCUUUUUCUUUCUUUUUUUUUUUUUUUUUCAGAUGGAAUCUUGCUCUGUCACCAGGCUGGAGUGCAGUGGUGUGAUCUCAGCUCACUGCAACCUUCGCCUCCCAGGUUCAGUGAUUCCCCUGCCUCAACUUCCCAGGUAUAUGGGACUACAGGCGUGCGCCACCACGCCCAGCUAAUUUUUUGUAUUUUAGUAGAGACAGGGUUUCACCAUGUUAGCCAAGAUGGUCUCGAUCUUCUGACUUCAUGAUCCGCCGGCUUCGGCCUCCCAAAGUGCUAGGAUUACAGGCAUGAGCCACCACGCCCGGCCAAUAUUUUCUUAAUCAAAGAAAUAUAUAUCCAACCUACGAAACUACACUAUUUCCUUUGGAAAUAGUUCAUGUUUGCAGAGUUGAAGGGGGUUGCCCUCAGGUAAUUCAGAAGGAAUCAGUGAAAGCUUCUCUGCUGGGGAGAUCAAACUGCAGUUGGAGCACCCCAGGCCUCCCUGACCCCUCCUCACACCAAUUCACAGGACUGAUUCCGACAACGGGCAGAAGAGCAUUUCCACUAACAACUGGUAAAGCUUGAGGUACCAGAGUUUGAAAGAUGCAAGAAUGGAGAGUUAGGACCCUUUCAUCACAUGAGGGCCAUGGGAUUUCCCAAGAGGGGAGGUGGGGACACCAGAUUGAGGGGUGACUUGAAGAGAGGAUGUGGGAGGAAUCAGACAAUGAGAGAUUGAAGAGUCAGAGAAAGAUGGGGAAUGGAUGUGUGUUAAUGUGUAUGGCAGGGCUGUCUUCACAAGCCUGAGACCUGGGCAGUCAACCUAUGAGACUAGACUGUUACCUUUGGCAGAAAGUUAAUGUUUGCAGUGCUGACAGGGGUUGCCCUUAGGUAAUUCAGAAGGAAUUACCUUCUAAGCACAGUGAAAGAUUUUCUGUGUUUAGGAGUCCCCUACACUUGGUUUAAUCCUCUAAUUUGCUGUCUUUAAAAUGUUUAAUAAUUCUUUUUUUUUUUUUUUUUUUGAAGACAAGGUCUCAUUCUAUCAACCAGGCUGGAGUGCAGUGGCGCACUCACUGCUCACUGUAGCCUUGACCACCUAGGCUCAAGCAAUCCUCCCACCUUAGCCUCCAGAGUAGCUGGGACUACAAGCCCACCCCACCACACCCAGCUAAGUUUUUAAAAUUUUUUCGUAGAGAUGUGGUCUUAUUCUGUUGCCUAGGCUGGUCUCAAAUCCUGGGCCCAAGGGAUCCUCCCACCUCAGCCUCCCAAAGUGUGGGAAGAGCCGCAGGGCGUGAGCCACUGUGUCUGGCCAAUAAUUAUGUUUGAACAAGGGGCUUCACCAUUCUAUUUUGCACUGAGACCUGCAAAUGAUGUAGCUGAUCCUGUGGGAGGCUUUCAAGAAUCCAAAUGAGUUGGCUUAAGUCACCACUCCUGCUUUGGAUUGAUGUUCUGUUACUAAAGUUAGUAACAAAACAAACUGUAGGCCGGGUGCAGUGGCUCACACCUGUAAUCCCAGCACUUUGGGAGGCCGAGGUGGGCGGAUCACUCGAGGUCAGGAGUUCGAGACCAGCCUGGCCAACAUGAUGAAACCCUGUUUCUCCUAAAAGUACAAAAAUUAGCCAGGCAUGGUGGCACACACCUGUAAAUCCAGCUACUCAGAAGGCUGAGGAAGGAGAAUUGCUUGAAACUGGAAGGUGGAGGUUGCAGUGAGCCAGGAUCACACCACUAUACUCCAGCCUAGGUGACAGAGGGAGACUCUGUCUCAAACAAACAAACAAACAAAUUGUAUUGAGAGAGCCAAUUGGUAAAACUGAUGUCGGAAACAGCCCCCUUAGCAGCCUGUGAGUCUCAUCAUGCUUGGGGUUACCCUUGGCUUUCCCAUGGGGACCAACCCAUGAUCUGUCCCCUCCCCACUGGUGCACCACCAGGCGGAAAGCCCCACAAAGCAGCCAACAUCCCUUCAAAGAUGAGAGGUCCUCCACCUGACUUUCCUGAUACUCCCCUCAGGAUCACAGGGGAUAAUGCUCUUCCCCCACCGGCCAACUCACCAUGACAUAGAAUGAAAUGGCCCAGCUACAGCCUGGUAACCAAGGUAAUGAUAAAGAACUGAAGAUCCAAAGCCAGAGAAUGAUAAAGUAACUUCAACCUGACACAGUAAAACAUUGCAGGGAGAGUCCGGGAUCUGGAAUGAGAAUGCCACGUCCAGGCUGUGUUACCUUACAAAAAUUAUUAAUGCUUCAGUGGCCUCAUCUGCAGAAUGGAAAUACCAAUAAUAGUAGCUAUCUGAUAAGGUUAUUGUGGGGAUAGUAGGAGACAAUCCAUAAUAAUGUUUGAGUAGUAGCUGGCACAUUGUAGAUACUCAACAUACGCCAGCUAUUAUUGUUAUAGAAAAUAUGCAGAUCUGGAAUAGCUUGGAAAAUGUUUAUGAUACAAUAACAAAUUCAAAAGAAGUCUACUAAAUACUGUGUAUUUUAUGAUUGCAAUUUUGUAAAAACUAUAUCUGCUUAUGGAAAAAGAUUUGAAGAAAAUAUGCUUAUGUGAAAAGAAUUUCUUACAGUGAUGGGAUUACGUGUAGCUUUAUUUAUUUAUUUGAGACCAGGUCUCACUCUGUUGCCCAGGCUGCAAUACAGUGGUGUGACACCAGCUCCCUGAAACUCCUGGGCUCAAGUGAUCCUCCUGCCUCAGCCUCUUGAAUAACUGGGACUACAGGCAUGUGCCACCAUGCCCGGCUAAUAUUUAAUUUUUUUGUGGAGACAGAGUCUCCCUAUGCUGCCAUGCUGGUCUUGAACUCCUGGGCUCAAGCGAUCCUCCAG